UACAGAGGGUGCGAGCGUUAAUCGGAAUUACUGGGCGUAAAGCGCGCGUAGGCGGCUUUUCAAGUCGGAUGUGAAAUCCCCGGGCUUAACCUGGGAACUGCAUUCGAGACUGUCUAGCUAGAGUAUGGGAGAGGGAAGUGGAAUUUCAGGUGUAGCGGUGAAAUGCGUAGAUAUCAGGAGGAACACCGGUGGCGAAGGCGGUUCUCUGGGCAUUACCUGACGCUGAGGAGCGAAAGUGUGGGGAGCGAACAGG
Molecule: ribosomal RNA, 253 nt
Filed under: uncultured bacterium
Lineage: Bacteria
Description: partial 16S ribosomal RNA
Rfam family: Bacterial small subunit ribosomal RNA
Source: RNAcentral